UACAGAGGUCCCGAGCGUUGUUCGGAUUCACUGGGCGUAAAGGGUGCGCAGGUGGCAUGGUAAGUUUGAUGUGAAAGCCCCGGGCUUAACCCGGGAAUGGCAUUGAAUACUACUGUGCUGGAGGAUCGGAGGGGGGACUGGAAUUCUUGGUGUAGCAGUGAAAUGCGUAGAUAUCAAGAGGAACACCAGUGGCGAAGGCGAGUCCCUGGACGAUACCUGACACUGAGGCACGAAAGCCAAGGGAGCAAACAGG
Molecule: ribosomal RNA, 253 nt
Filed under: uncultured bacterium
Lineage: Bacteria
Also listed under: 1 other name
Description: partial 16S ribosomal RNA
Rfam family: Bacterial small subunit ribosomal RNA
Source: RNAcentral